Molecule: RNA transcript, 2559 nt
Organism: Oncorhynchus tshawytscha (Chinook salmon)
Lineage: Eukaryota; Metazoa; Chordata; Actinopteri; Salmoniformes; Salmonidae
Gene name: CXXC-type zinc finger protein 1-like
Exons: 15
Source: RefSeq, a predicted model, not a curated record
CCGGAAGCAACCAUUUUCUGCAGAUGUUUUGAACCAAAAUCGUGCUAAAUCAAAACAUCUAAAUGUGAAAUCAAAUGUUUUAUUUUCUCAUGCAGUGGUUGGACAUUAUUUCUCUACUCUACCCGGUUUUUCUGUAAGUGUCUCGCCCAACGCGAUCCCCAGUCAUCAUGGACAGUCACAGUGAGGUAUCAGACCUCGACCCAGCCCCUGGCCCUGACAGACCUGUAGGACCCAUGAUGGAGGGGGGAAACGCACCUGUCUACUGUAUCUGUCGCAGACCUGACAUCAACUGCUUCAUGAUUGGUUGUGACUGCUGUAACGAGUGGUUUCAUGGUGACUGCAUCGGCAUAUCAGAGAAGGCAGCUAAAGUCAUCCGGGUGUGGUACUGUGAGAAAUGUCGUGCCAAAGACGGGACCCUGGAGAUAAAGUAUCGUCCCAAGAAGACCAAGGAGAAGACAGAGAAGGAGACGGGAGACCAGGGGAAGAAGGAGACGGGAGACCAGGAGAAGAAGGAGACGGGAGACCAGGAGAAGACGGAGAAGGAGACGGGAGACCAGGAGAAGACGGAGAAGGAGACGGGAGACCAGGAGAAGACGGAGACGGGAGACCAGGAGAAGACGGAGACGGGAGACCAGGAGAAGACGGAGAAGGAGACGGGAGACCAGGAGAAGACAGAGAAGCAGCAUCACACUCCAGACCUGAAUAUAGAACACCGCAGAGGUUCACGGGUGAAGCGUUCGGCCCGUAUGUGUGGAGAGUGUGAGCCGUGCAGGAGGACUGAGGACUGUGCUCAGUGUGAUUUCUGUAAAGACAUGAAGAAGUUUGGAGGACCCAAUAAGAUCAGACAGAAGUGCAGGCUCCGGCAGUGUGACGUUCGAGCUCGGAAAAUGCUCCGUGUAAAAGAUGAGGAGUUUGCCCUGUCUGGUCGGGGGGCCAGAGGGAGUCUGAGAAGAGGAGGGCCUCUGUUUGAUGACUACAGUGAGAAUGAGAUGGAGCUCUACCAGCAGUACAAGGCUGCAGGCUACGAGGAUAACAAUAUGCCAUGGCAUAGUGAUGAUGAGGAAGCGGCCUUUGACCCCGUGCAGCGGAAGAGGGCUGUGAAGGUCAAGCACGUCAAGAGACGAGAGAAGAGAUGGGACAAGAAGGACAAGAAAGAGAAAGAGGUGCGUCGCCACAAGCAGAAGCAGAAGUACCGUGAGCGACUGAAGCACAGUGAGAGGGGUGGCGGGGGCGGCGGCGAGGCUCGGGGGGACAGUGGUGGAGGAGGAGGGGGGAUGAGACAGUGUUUGGGACCAGGGUGUGUGGAGGUCGCCAGGGCCGGCUCCAAAUACUGCUCAGAGGACUGCGGCAUGAAACUGGCUACCAAUCGUAUCUAUGAGAUCUUGCCUCAGAGGAUACAGCAGUGGCAGCAGUCUCCCUGUAUAGCCGAGGAGCAGGGCAAGAAGCUGCUGGAGCGAAUCAGGAGAGAUCAGCAGUCAGCCCGCCUGAGACUCACGGACAUGGAGAAACGCUUCCACGAGCUGGAGGGGAUCAUCGCCAAGGCCAAGCAACAGGUGGUGCAACAGGACGAAGAGGUGAAUGAGGCAGAAGGGGACACAGAUACAGACCUGCAGAUAUUCUGCGUGUCCUGCAGUCACCCCGUCAACCCCAAGGUGGCGCUAAGACACAUGGAGAGAUGCUACGCUAAGUAUGAGAGCCAGACCUCCUUCGGCUCCAUGUACCCCACACGCAUCGAAGGUGCAACCAGACUGUUCUGUGACGUAUACAACCCUCAGAGUAAAACCUACUGUAAGAGACUGCAGGUGUUGUGUCCUGAACACUCUAGAGACCCUAAGGUUACUGUGGACGAGGUGUGUGGCUGUCCCCUGGUGAGAGACGUCUUCCAGCCCACAGGAGAGUACUGCCGGGUGUCGAAGCGCAAGUGUAACAAGCAUUACUGCUGGGAGAAACUGAGGAGGGCUGAGGUGGACCUGGAGAGAGUCAGAGUGUGGUACAAGCUGGACGAGCUCUUUGAGCAGGAGAGGAAUGUCCGAACAGCCAUGACCAAUAGAGCAGGUCUCCUGGCCCUCAUGCUGCACCAGACCAUCCAGCACGACCCUGUUACCACCGACCUCCGCACCGCCAAGGAUAGGUAGACCCCCAAUCCUCCUGCCCAUGACCCUUGAACUAUCCCCUGACCACGGACCUCCUACGGUUGCUACUGGCUUACGUACCGCCAAUGAUAUGUAGAGGACCACCCCUCCCCCCCUCGAUCACGAGCCUCUGCAUCUCCUCAGGACAGAUAGACACCUCCCCCCCACAAGACCCUCAACACCACGACCCUGGCGGUGGCCCAGUCACCACCAUCCCGACUUCCGAACCCACCUUCAAGGACAGAUUGAACCAAGCCGUUACCAUGACUACACCUUGACCACCAAGACCCUGUCACCAUGACAACCUGUCACCACGACCCGGGGAUUGGACAGAUGAACUACAGACCCCAGAUGACCAAGCCUCAGAACCAGAACCGUGUGGAAACGUCAACACUCAUUUUGAAUAAAUAUUAACUCAUUUAUUGGU